Molecule: ribosomal RNA, 429 nt
Filed under: uncultured bacterium
Lineage: Bacteria
Description: bacterial SSU rRNA
Rfam family: Bacterial small subunit ribosomal RNA
Source: RNAcentral
UGGGGAAUAUUGGACAAUGGGGGCAACCCUGAUCCAGCGAUGCCGCGUGUGUGAAGAAGGCCUGCGGGUUGUAAAGCACUUUCAGUAGGGAGGAGGACUAUUUUGUUAAGAGCUGAAUAGUUGGACGUUACCUAUAGAAGAAGCACCGGCUAACUCCGUGCCAGCAGCCGCGGUAAUACGGAGGGUGCAAGCGUUAAUCGGAAUGACUGGGCGUAAAGGGUGUGUAGGCGGUUUAAUAAGUUAAGUGUGAAAUUCCCGGGCUCAACCUGGGGUGGUCAUUUAAGACUGUUAGACUAGAGUAUGGGAGAGGGUAGUGGAAUUUCCGGUGUAGCGGUGAAAUGCGUAGAGAUCGGAAGGAACACCAGUGGCGAAGGCGGCUACCUGGCCUAAUACUGACGCUGAGACACGAAAGCAUGGGGAGCAAACAGG